UUGAAAGGGAAACGAUUGAAGUCAGUCGUACCGACGAGAAAUCAGCUUAUCGUGUGUUAACUUGUGGGCGUGCGUGAGUUUCGGCCUCGCUGUUUGCAUGUUUGUGCGCUUUGGGUGUACUUUUUCGUAUGGUUGGCCAACAUCAGUUUCGAUCACUAUAAAAUGACUGGCGGAAUGUAGCUUCGAUUUCGGUUGAAGUGUUAUAGCCUCUGGUAGAUGUGGUAAUUGGGACUGAGGAUUGCAACGAAUAUCCUUUGGGCUAUCCGUCUGGCCUCUGAAAGUUGCUUGGGUGCUGAAAGCUUGCUUAUGGUUAUCUAAGUUAACGGUCAAUAGGUUAGAACGCGAUUACNUUCGUUAAGGAUGUUGACGUA
This 371-nucleotide ribosomal RNA is filed under the name uncultured Glomeromycotina. Its description in RNAcentral is "eukaryotic LSU rRNA". The record is from RNAcentral. Lineage: Eukaryota; Fungi; Glomeromycota.